This 346-nucleotide ribosomal RNA is filed under the name uncultured bacterium. Its description in RNAcentral is "partial 16S ribosomal RNA". It matches the Rfam family "Bacterial small subunit ribosomal RNA", at positions 338 to 682 of the family's 1533-position model. The record is from RNAcentral.
CCUACGGGGGGCAGCAGUGAGGAAUAGUGGUCAAUGGGCGCGAGCCUGAACCAGCCAAGUCGCGUGAGGGAAGACGGUCCUAUGGAUUGUAAACCUCUUUUGUCGGGGAGCAAAAGACGCCACGCGUGGCGUUUCGAGAGUACCCGAAGAAAAAGCAUCGGCUAACUCCGUGCCAGCAGCCGCGGUAAUACGGAGGAGGCGAGCGUUAUCCGGAUUUAGUGGGUUUAAAGGGUGCGCAGGCGGAAGAGCAAGUCAGCGGUAAAAUUGAGAGGCUCAACCUCGUCGAGCCGUUGAAACUGGUUUUCUUGCGUGAGCGAGACGUAUGCGGAAUGCGUGGUGUAGCGGU